AAUUAAGGUGCGUAAUUAGCGAUCGCUGACUCGCAGUUUCUAUCUGAACAGGAUACAAGACCUGAAAUUUGAGGGAGGUCAAUAGUCGAUUACAUCGGCUCCAAUAUUUGAUUGGUAUUUAAUUUAUCCACCCAGAAGGAAUAAAAGGUUAAAGUCAGCCUCGACGGAAUUUGAACUCAGAACGUACCUCGUCUUAAUUAAUAACUUCCAAACUGAAAUGUUGGUUUGUUGCUUGUGAAAACCUAUGAUCGGAUGUUAGAUGUGAUAUAGAGGAAAUUUAUUUGUAAAAUGAGAAGAAAACGUUGUGAUUAACGAGUAAAAACGAACGGAGAACCGGCAUAACUACAGAUUCAUGCCCCACCACUUUGGAUGAUCAUUAUCACAACAUGUUGACGUGAAGGAAAUCUCUCCAUUCAGAAGUGUCUUUGAUAUUCUCAUCACCUAAAGGAAGACAGUAUAUUUAUAAGGAGCAUUCAUGAAUAAGUCUACCUCUGUAUAUAAAUACAGUCUAUAACAAGGAACAGCGAAAUAUUUUUCUUUCUGUGGAAUGUAUGGAAGAAACAUUGCAUUAAAUUGUUAUCUGAAUGAAGUGACAAAAGUGAACAGAAAUGUAUUCAUGGAAAUGAAAAACACUUUAUCAUUGUGAAGUGUAUGAUAAGUAAUUCUCUCAAAAUGAAUAAUUUAACUGUAUCAGAAAACCUUGAUAAAGAGGAAAAGCCAUAUCACUGUAAUAUCUGUGGAAAAUCAUUUUCUUACAGUAGUGACAUUUCUAGACACAAACGUACACAUACAGGAGAGAAACCUUAUCAUUGUGAGAUCUGUGGUAAAUCAUUCUCUG
This 838-nucleotide long non-coding RNA is filed under the name Octopus sinensis (East Asian common octopus). RNAcentral's name for it is "uncharacterized LOC118768165". The record is from RNAcentral. Lineage: Eukaryota; Metazoa; Mollusca; Cephalopoda; Octopoda; Octopodidae.